AGAAGCUCUAUACAGUCAGCAAAAACAAGACCAGGAGCUGACUGUGGCUCAGACCAUGAGCUCCUUAUUGCCAAAUUCAGACUUAAAUUGAAGAAAGUAGGGAAAACCACUAGACCAUUCAGGUAUGACCUAAAUCAAAUCGCUUAUGAUGAUACAGGGGAAGUGAGAAAUAGAUUUAAGGGCCUAGAUCUGAUAGAUAGAGUGCCUGAUGAGCUAUGGAAUGAGGUUCAUGACAUUGUACAGGAGACAGGGAUCAAGACCAUCCCCAUGGAAAAGAAAUGCAAAAAAGCAAAAUGGCUGUCUGAGGAGGCCUUACAAAUAGCUGUGAAAAGAAGAGAAGUGAAAAGCAAAGGAGAAAAGGAAAGAUAUAAACAUCUGAAUGCAGAGUUCCAAAGAAUAGCAAGAAGAGAUAAGAAAGCCUUCCUCAGCGAUCAAUGCAAAGAAAUAGAGGAAAACAACAGAAUGGGAAAGACUAGAGAUCUCUUCAAGAAAAUUGGAGAUACCAAAGGAACAUUUCAUGCAAAGAUGGGCUCGAUAAAGGACAGAAAUGGUAUGGACCUAACAGAAGCAGAAGAUAUUAAGAAGAGAUGGCAAGAAUACACAGAAGAACUGUACAAAAAAGAUCUUCACGAUCCAGAUAAUCACGAUGGUGUGAUCACUCACCUAGAGCCAGACAUCCUGGAAUGUGAAAUCAAGUGGGCCUUAGAAAGCAUCACUACAAACAAAGCUAGUGGAGGUGAUAGAAUUCCAGUUGAGCUAUUCCAAAUCCUGAAAGAUGAUACUGUGAAAGUGCUGCACUCAAUAUGCCAGCAAAUUUGGAAAACUCAGCAGUGGCCACAGGACCGGAAAAGGUCAGUUUUCAUUCUGAUCCCAAAGAAAGGCAAUGCCAAAGAAUGCUCAAACUACCACACAAUUACACUCAUCUCACACGCUAGGAAAGUAAUGCUCAAAAUUCUCCAAGCCAGGCUUCAGCAAUAUGUGAACCAUGAACUUCCUGAUGUUCAAGCUGGUUUUAGAAAAGGCAGAGGAACCAGAGAUCAAAUUGCCAACAUCCGGUGGAUCAUGGAAA
RNAcentral lists this long non-coding RNA (1069 nucleotides) under Bos indicus x Bos taurus (hybrid cattle). Its description in RNAcentral is "lncRNA (ENSBIXG00005012702.1)". Lineage: Eukaryota; Metazoa; Chordata; Mammalia; Artiodactyla; Bovidae. The record is from RNAcentral.